Molecule: ribosomal RNA, 301 nt
Filed under: uncultured bacterium
Lineage: Bacteria
Description: partial 16S ribosomal RNA
Rfam family: Bacterial small subunit ribosomal RNA
Source: RNAcentral
CAGCCGCCACGGGAAUACGUAGGGUGCGAGCGUUAAUCGGAAUUACUGGGCGUAAAGCGUGCGCAGGCGGUUAUAUAAGACAGAUGUGAAAUCCCCGGGCUCAACCUGGGACCUGCAUUUGUGACUGUAUAGCUAGAGUACGGUAGAGGGGGAUGGAAUUCCGCGUGUAGCAGUGAAAUGCGUAGAUAUGCGGAGGAACACCGAUGGCGAAGGCAAUCCCCUGGACCUGUACUGACGCUCAUGCACGAAAGCGUGGGGAGCAAACAGGAUUAGAUACCCCAGUAGUCCCUGUCUCUUAUAC